This 513-nucleotide ribosomal RNA is filed under the name uncultured bacterium. RNAcentral's name for it is "partial 16S ribosomal RNA". It matches the Rfam family "Bacterial small subunit ribosomal RNA", at positions 28 to 523 of the family's 1533-position model. The record is from RNAcentral.
GACGAACGCUGGCGGCGUGCCUAAUACAUGCAAGUAGAACGCUGAAGAGAGGAGCUUGCUCUUCUUGGAAGAGUUGCGAACGGGUGAGUAACGCGUAGGUAACCUGCCUUGUAGCGGGGGAUAACUAUUGGAAACGAUAGCUAAUACCGCAUAACAAUGGAUGACCCAUGUCAUUUAUUUGAAAGGGGCAACUGCUCCACUACAAGAUGGACCUGCGUUGUAUUAGCUAGUAGGUGAGGUAACGGCUCACCUAGGCGACGAUACAUAGCCGACCUGAGAGGGUGAUCGGCCACACGGGGACUGGAACACGGCCCAGACUCCUACGGGAGGCAGCAGUAGGGAAUCUUCGGCAAUGGGGGCAACCCUGACCGAGCAACGCCGCGUGAGUGAAGAAGGUUUUCGGAUCGUAAAGCUCUGUUGUAAGUCAAGAACGAGUGUGAGAGUGGAAAGUUCACACUGUGACGGUAGCUUACCAGAAAGGGACGGCUAACUACGUGCCAGCCGCCGCCGUAA